GCCGGGCGUGGUGGCGGGCGCCUGUAGUCCCAGUUACUCUGGAGGCUGAGGCAGGAGAAUCACUUGAACCCAGGGGGCAGAGGCUGCAGUGAGCUGAGAUCACGCCACUGUACUCCAGCCUGGGUGACAGAGUGAGACCCUAUCUCAA
Molecule: non-coding RNA, 148 nt
Filed under: Homo sapiens (human)
Lineage: Eukaryota; Metazoa; Chordata; Mammalia; Primates; Hominidae
Source: Rfam by way of RNAcentral